GUUCCCUGGCGCAGCCUGAUGCAGCAACGCCGCGUGGAUGAUGACGCGCUCUUCGGGGUGUAAACUCCUUUUAUAUAAGAAGAAAUGACGGUACUAUUUGAAUAAGCGCCGGCUAACUCCGUGCCAGCAGCCGCGGUAUUACUCCGUGCCAGCAGCCGCGGUAAUAA
RNAcentral lists this ribosomal RNA (167 nucleotides) under uncultured bacterium. Its description in RNAcentral is "partial 16S ribosomal RNA". It matches the Rfam family "Bacterial small subunit ribosomal RNA", at positions 366 to 553 of the family's 1533-position model. The record is from RNAcentral.